RNAcentral lists this transfer-messenger RNA (258 nucleotides) under Eggerthella sp. RNAcentral's name for it is "partial transfer-messenger RNA". It matches the Rfam family "transfer-messenger RNA", at positions 1 to 259 of the family's 374-position model. From Rfam's summary of the family: Bacterial tmRNA, also known as 10Sa RNA or SsrA, is named for its dual tRNA and mRNA-like properties. Its role is to liberate the mRNA from a stalled ribosome. The record is from RNAcentral. Lineage: Bacteria; Bacillati; Actinomycetota; Coriobacteriia; Eggerthellales; Eggerthellaceae.
GGGGGCGACUGGUUUCGACAUGGUACGUUUGAAAUGAGGAGCAGGUCGUGGUCUCCUCGCCACGUUAAACAGGGGUACCGUCAAUUUAAUUGGCAAGAACAACACUCAGAGCGCUCCGGCGCUCGCCAUGGCUGCUUAAUAGCGCCUGGCUGUCGGCCUUGGGACUUCCCCGCCCCUCGGUCCGGCAUCAACCUAGGGGAAUGCGCUUGAGCACGUAGCCGGUAUGGCUCAGGCAAAGAUCGAACCGGCUAGGGUGCG